This 246-nucleotide unclassified non-coding RNA is filed under the name Ascomycota sp. Its description in RNAcentral is "partial contains small subunit ribosomal RNA, internal transcribed spacer 1, and 5.8S ribosomal RNA". The stretch from base 1 to 47 matches the Rfam family "Eukaryotic small subunit ribosomal RNA", at positions 1785 to 1831 of the family's 1831-position model. Lineage: Eukaryota; Fungi; Ascomycota. The record is from RNAcentral.
AAAGUCGUAACAAGGUUUCCGUAGGUGAACCUGCGGAAGGAUCAUUACCUUUCAAUGCAGCAGAAUUGGGAUGGUUGAGUAUCUCGCCUUUCAAUCUUGCCUGUAUUCCACCCUUGUUUUUCAUACACUAUUAUUUCCUCGGCAGGCUUGCCUGCCGGGUGAAACCAUUUAUAACCUUUUUAAUUUUCAAUCAGCGUCUGAAAAAAUUAAUAAUUACAACUUUCAACAACGGAUCUCUUGGUUCUG